AAACACUACUGAAAGAAAUCACAGAUGACACAAACAAAUGGCAGCACAUCCCAUGCUCAUGGAUGGGUAGAAUCAAUAUUGUGAAAAUGACCAUACUGCCAAAAGCAAUCUACAAAUUUAAUCCAAUUCCCAUCAAAAUACCACCAUCAUUCUUUACAAAAUGAUGAAAAAUAAUCCCAAAAUUCAUAUGGAACCAAAAAAGAGCCUACAUAGCCAAAGGAAGACUAACCAAAAAGAAUAAAUCUGGUGACAUCACAUUACCUAACUCCAAACUAUUCUGUAACACCAUAGUCACUAAAACAGCAUGAUACUGGUAUAAAAAUAGGCACAUAGACCAAUGGAACAGAAUAGAGAACCCAGAAUUAAAGCCAAAUACUUACAGCCAGCUGAUCUUCAACAAAGUGAGGAAAGGACACCCUAUUCAACAAAUAGUGCUGGGAUAAUUGGCUAGCCACAUUUAGGAGAAUGAAACUGGAUCCUUAUCUCUCACCUUAUACAAAAAUCAACUCAAGAUGGAUCAAGAACUUAAGACCUGAAGCCUUAAAAAUUCUAGAAGAUAACAUUGGAAAAACCCUUCUAGACAUUGGCUUAGGCAAAGACUUCAUGACCAAGAAGCUCAAAACAAAUGCAACAAAAACAAAAGAUAAAUAGAUGGGACUUAACUAAACUAAAAAGCUUUUGCACAGCAAAAGAAAUAAUUAGCAGAGUUAACAGACAACACACAGAGUGGGAGAAAAUCUUCACAACCUACACAUCCAACAAAGGACUAAUAUUCAGAAUCUACAAAGAACUCAAAUCAGUAAGAAAGAAACCAAUCCCAUAAAAAAGUGGGCUAAGGACACGAAUAGACAAUUCUCAAAAGAAAAUAUACAAAUGGCCAACAAGCAUAUGGAAAAAUGCUCAACAUCACUAAUGAUCAGGGAAAUGCAAAUCAAAACCACAAUGCGAUAUCACCUCAUUCCUGUAAGAAUGGCAAUAUUAAAAAAAUUAAAAAAUAAUAGAUGUCGGCAUGGAUGUGGUGGAAAGGGAGCACUUUUAUAGUGUUGAUGCUAAUGUAAACUAGUACAACCACUAUGGAAAACGGUGUGGAGAUUGCUUAAAGAACUAAAAGUAGAUCUACCAUUUGAUCCAACAACCCCAUUCCUCAGUAUCUACCCAGAGGAAAAGAAGUCAUUAUACAAAAAAGAUACUUGUACACACGUUUAUAAGCAGCAAAAUUCAUAAUUGUGAAAAUAUGGAACCAGCCCAAAUGCCCAUCAAUCAAUGAGUGGAUAAAGAAAAUGUGAUAUGUGCACACACACCCCAUGGAAUACUACUCAGCCAUAAAAAGGAGCAAACUGGAUGGAAUUGGAGACCAUUCUUCUAAUUGCAGCAACCUGGAUGGAAUUGGAGACCAUUCUUCUAAGUGAAGUAGCUCAAGAAUGGAAAACCAAACAUCAUAUGUUCUCAUAUGUGGGAACUAAGCUAUGAGAAUGUAAAGGCAUAAGAAUGAUACAGUGGACUUUGGGGACUCAGGGGAAAUGGUGGGAAGGGAGUGAGAAAUAAAAGACUACACAUUGAGUACAGUGUACACUGCUCGGGUGAGGGAUGCACCAAAAUCUCAAAAAUCACCACUAAAGAACUUAUUUAUAUAACCAAACACCACCUGUUCCUUAAAAACCUAUUGAAAUAAAAAGUAAAUUUAAAAAAAACCUCCUGGAUUCAUUGAUUUUUUUGAAGGUUUUUUUGUGUCUCUAUUUCAGUUCAGCUCUGAUCUUGGUUAUUUCUUGUCUUCUGCUAGCUUGGGAGUUUGUUUCCUCUUGGUUCUCUAGUCCUUUUAGUUGUAAUAUUAGGUUGUUAACUUGAGAUCUUUCUCUCUUUUUGAUGUGGGCAUUUAGUGCUAUAAAUUUUCCUCUUAACACUGCUUUAGCUGAGUCCUGGAGAUUCUGUUAUGUUGUCUCUUUGUUCUAAUUAGUUUUAAAACACUUCUUGAUCUCUGCCAUAAUUUUAUUAUUUACCCCAAAGUCAUUCAGGAGCAGAUUGUUCAAUUUCCAUAUAGUUGUGUGGUUUUAAGUGAAUUUCUUAAUCUUGAGUUCUAAUUUGAUUGUGCUGUGGUCUGAGAGACUCUUUGUUAUGAUUUCAGUUAUUUUUCAUUUGCUGAGGAGUGUUUUUCUUCCUAAUUUAUGAUUAGUUUUAGGGUAAGUGUCAUGUGGCUAUGAGAAGAAUGUAUAUUCGCUUGUUUUUUGUUGGAGAGUUCUGUAGAUAUCUAUCAUGUCUACUUGAUCCACAGCUGAGUUCAGGUCCUGAAUAUCUUUGUUAAUUUUCUGUCUCCAUGAUGUGUCUAAUAUUGUCAUUGUGGUGUUAAAGUCUCCCACUAUUAUUGUGUGGGAGUCUAAGUCUCUUUGAAGGUCUCCAAUAACUUGCUUUAUGAACCUGGGUGCUCUUGUAUAGGGUGCAUAUAUAUUUAGGAUAGUUAGCUCUUCUGGUUGAAUUGAACCCUUUACCAACAGGUAGUGCUCUUCUUUGUCUUUUUUGAUCUUUGUUAAUUUAAAGUCUGUUUUGUUAGAAACUAGGAUUGCAAGCUCUGUUUUUUUCUGCUUUCUGUUUGCUUGGUAAAUUUUCCUCCAUCCCUUUAUUUUUAGCGUAUGUGUUUCUUUGUGUGUGAGAUGGGUCUCUUGAAUACAGCAUACUGAUGGGUCUUGGUUCUUUAUCUAGCUUGCCAUUCUGUGUCUUUCAUUGGAGAACACAUUGAGAUUUAAGGUUAGUAGUAUUAUAUGUGGAUUUGAUCUCAUCAUCAUGAUGCUAGCUGGUUAUUUUGCUAACUUGUUUGUGUGGUUGCUUCACAGUGUCACUGUUCUUUGUACUUUAGUGUGUUUUUCUGGUGCCUGGUAAUGGUUUUUCCUUUUCAUAUUUACUGCUUCCUUCAGGAGCUCUUGCAAGACAGGUCUGGUAGUAACAAGUUCCCUCAGCAUUUGCUUGUCUGAAAAGCAUCUUAUUUAUCCUUUGCUUAUGAAGCUUGGUUUGGCCAGAUGUGAAAUUCUGGGUUGGAAAUUCUUUUCUUUAAGAAUGUUGAAUAUUGGUUCCCAGUAUCUUCUGACUUGUAGGGUUUCCACUGAGAGGUCGGCUGUUCAUCUGAUGGGGUUCCCUUUGUAGGUGACCUGGCCUUUCUGUCUGACUGCCCUUAACAUUUUUUCUUUCAUUUAGAGUUUGGAGAAUCUGAUGAUUAUGUGUCUCAGGGAUGAUCUCCUCGUGGAGUAUCUCACUGGAGUUCUCUGGAUUUCUUGAAUUUGAGUGUUGGCCUGUCUUGCUAGAACUAACCUGGGGAAGUUAGUUCUCUUGAAUCCUAUGCUGAAGUAUGUUUUCCAACUUGGUUCCAUUCUCCUUGUCUUUUUCAGGUACCCCAAUCCAUCAUAGAUUCGUUCUCUUUAUGUAAUCCCAUAUUUUUUGAUGGUAUCGUUCGUUCCUUUUCAUUCUUUUAUCUCUAUUCUUGUCUGCCUGUCUUAUUUCAGAAAGAUUGUCUUCAAGCUCUGAGAUUCUUUUCUUGGGCUAUUCUGCUGUUAAUAAUUGUGAUUUCAUUGUGAAGUUCUUGUAGUGUGUUUUUCAGCUCUAACAGGUGAGUUAUGUUUUUCUCUAGACCGGCUAUUUUGGCUGUCCGCUCCUGUAUUGUUUUGUCAUGAUUCUUAGUUUCUUUGCAUUGGGUUACAAGAUGCUCCUUUAGGUCAUUGAAGUUCACUGUUAUUCACAUUCUGAAGCCUACUCUGUCAUUUCAGCCAUCUCAGGCUCAACCCAGUUCUGAGCCCUUGCUGGAGAGGUGUUGCAGGGAUAUUCUGGCUUUUUGAGUCCUCAGGAUUUUGGGGUUAUUUCUCAUCUCUGUGGGUCUAUCUUAAACUUUGACCUUGAGGAUGGGGUUUUUGUGGCUUUUUAAAUUGUUAUUGUUGUUGUUUCCUGCUUGUUUUUCUUUUAACAGUCUGGCCACUCUUCUGCAGGGCUGCUGCAGUUUGC
RNAcentral lists this long non-coding RNA (3981 nucleotides) under Homo sapiens (human). Its description in RNAcentral is "HSALNT0237911". The record is from RNAcentral. Lineage: Eukaryota; Metazoa; Chordata; Mammalia; Primates; Hominidae.